GAGAACUGGAGUUGGAAAGAAAAAGGAAAUGAAGUCAAGUCUAUUCCUGGUCCUUUCUAUAGAAGAUCAACCUUGCUCUUAAGACAAAGCAACAUCCUUGGAAACCCUGGCAAUGUACUAUUCUCUGUGUUGUGGUUUCUAAAAGGACGCUGUCACCAAAGGCACACAUAAUGGAGUCCCCGGGAAGCUGCACUGAGCACCCAGAGCCGGGUGGUCCAAAGAAAUGCCUUUUCAGCACCUCUGAAAUGAAUGACGCCCCAUGAAGGAGAAUGGCAAUGAAGAGAAUCUACAGACACCCCGUAUUGGUUAUUGGACCUGUCCUUCAGUGUGUAUACAGUGCCACCCUGGCACCCCUCGCAGCCUGCACAGGCACUCUCACAGCCCCCGCCACGCCACAUCCUCCUACUCCUACUCCCUGGGAGUAUCACACUGCCAAGAUGACUCCCCUCUGGCAUCGCUCGAAUUCACUACUGGGCUAAAAGAAUGCCUGGAUUCUCCUUCCUCACCACGGAUUGCACGACCAGAUGUCCCAGCUGUUAUCAGAGCUUUCAUAAGGUCUGGAGUUCAGCAGGAAAGUCCAGGUGAAAUAGGCUUGUCUUGCCACGUAUCCCUGUCAACGCUAUUGUUCUUUUUGUCCCUCUCAGUUUAGUAGCUGGACCAGUUUCCAUCUGCACACCAUUGUUCCGGUGGCCCCCUCUCCUGGAACACACUCCCCACCUUCUCUGCACCCUUGGGGCACAGUUCAGCCCCAUGCUUUCCACAAAGCCUGGUCUGGUCCCACGAUCCUUCUCAGGACUUCUCUUUUGUUCCCUGCCAUCGUCCUCUGGAUGCUCCAUCUAACCCUUGCUUAUAUGCUGUGACUUACUGUUCUCUGUAUCAAAGGAAUAGUGUAGCAGGCUCUGUAACUAUUUCACAAGGGCGCGAGGACACGACUACUUUACAGCCCCUUAGCAUCCAAUCAGAAGCUUGACUACUUUACAGCCCCUUAGCAUCCAAUCAGAAGCUUGACUACAGCCCCUUAGCAUCCAAUCAGAAGCUCGUCUCCUCCAUACUCAUUAAAAGGGCUACAAUAAGAAACAAAACAAAACAACCAGAAAAUGACAAGUGUUGGUGAGGAUAGGGAGAAACUGGAACCGCUGGGCACCAUAGGUGAGAAUGUAAAAUGGUACAGCCGCUAGGGAAAGCAGUAUGGCCGUUUCUCAAAUAAUUGAAAAUGGAAAUACCAUAUAAUUCAACAAUUCCACUUCUGGGUAAAUACCCAAAAGAAUAGAAAGCAAGGAUUUGAAGAGAUAUUUGCACACCCAUG
This 1306-nucleotide long non-coding RNA is filed under the name Homo sapiens (human). RNAcentral's name for it is "HSALNT0272860". Lineage: Eukaryota; Metazoa; Chordata; Mammalia; Primates; Hominidae. The record is from RNAcentral.